Molecule: long non-coding RNA, 1203 nt
Organism: Adelges cooleyi (spruce gall adelgid)
Lineage: Eukaryota; Metazoa; Arthropoda; Insecta; Hemiptera; Adelgidae
Exons: 3
Source: RefSeq, a predicted model, not a curated record
UAAUUACAGUAUGCAGCCGUUUUUUACAAUCACUAAUAGCUUCUUUAAUGUUUUUGAUGCUUAACGAAUCAACUGCCAAAAUGUCAAACAUAAUGAUUCGUUCGUAUACAUUAAACACGUGUCCAUAUUCUUCUUUGAUUUUCGUUAGUAGGUUAUUCUCAGGUUGUUGACAUAUUUUUUGGCCACUGUGACUUGCUACUAUUAACACAGGUAUUAAAUGACUCGAAACACCAUUUUUAACUACAAUAAAAAUGAUUAAAAAUUAAUUCAUGGCAUGAAUAGUAUCAAGUUAAGUUUAAUUAUGCAUCUAACACACAUAUAUAUCCUGGAAUAUGAAGUCUAGCUUGUACAAAACUCAGCCAAAAUUGUAUGAUUUUCAAACUAAUUGCUAAUGAUUGUUGCUGAUUAUAAACAAUUACAAUUAUUUUGUUAGGUGUGUUUUGUAUAACAUGAUGGUAAGAAUUAUAAUACGUGUCUUCACCAGAAAAAUCCCAAAAUGUGCAAUCACCAAUGCCUGAUAACUUUUCCUUAAAAAUAAAUAUAUAAUAUUAGUAAUACAUUAUUUUUUAAUCAGAAACAAAGUGAGAUGAGGAAAAAAUUGAUAACCUUCAGGAAAGUACUUUGACAUGUUAUAUAUAGCCUGGCAGCUGGCUGCGGAAAAUGGUGAAUAAAAAAAACAGAAGAGGCUAUAACAACAACCCAAUAUGAGAGAGUUUAUUUGAUGCAUGCAAAUAGAAUGAUUGUAGUAUGAAUAUGUGGAGAUUUAUGGGCAUAUAAUCAAAAAGGAAUAACAAACUAAGUCAUUAGAAGGACGUCUAGAGUGGGCUUAAGGCAGAGAUGGCGGAUUGGAGUAAACUCGAAGUAACAUGCACAUAAAGCCGUCGGUGCUGAUCAAAGAUUUGACAGCGUUUUCGUCUUCACCAUCCUCUAAAAGUUGGAGCAAAGACAUUUUGGAGCUGACAAAUUAUUUUACAUCCAUCUAAUUUCGAGCCAAUCCUAAGCCCCGUGGCUAUGAACUCUACUUAGUGCACUGUUAUCAACGCUGUUACUUGUUCCAAAAAUGAAAUGAUAACACCUAACUUUCCAAGAUGUUGAUAUUAUUCCAGCGAAAUAUGGAUGUCGGUCUCGGUACACGUUAAUUUUGUUAAAAAAAAAAAAUUACUAAUAUUUACUCGGCAUUUAUAAGUUAUAUGGAUGGCCAAA